RNAcentral lists this non-coding RNA (19 nucleotides) under Arabidopsis thaliana (thale cress). RNAcentral also lists the same sequence under 1 other name. The record is from RNAcentral. Lineage: Eukaryota; Viridiplantae; Streptophyta; Magnoliopsida; Brassicales; Brassicaceae.
GGGAAUCCGACUGUUUAAU